CGGACGGGUGAGGAACACAUCGGAAUCUACCCUGUCGUGGGGGACAACGUAGGGAAACUUACGCUAAUACCGCAUACGACCUUUGGGUGAAAGCGGGGGACUCGCAAGAGCCUCGCGCGAUUGGAUGAGCCGAUGUCCGAUUAGCUAGUUGGCGGGGUAAUGGCCCACCAAGGCGACGAUCGGUAGCUGGUCUGAGAGGACGACCAGCCACACUGGAACUGAGACACGGUCCAG
Molecule: ribosomal RNA, 234 nt
Filed under: uncultured bacterium
Lineage: Bacteria
Description: partial 16S ribosomal RNA
Rfam family: Bacterial small subunit ribosomal RNA
Source: RNAcentral